Molecule: non-coding RNA, 797 nt
Organism: Malus domestica (apple)
Lineage: Eukaryota; Viridiplantae; Streptophyta; Magnoliopsida; Rosales; Rosaceae
Source: RefSeq, a predicted model, not a curated record
CAAUUGCACUGUAUCAAUGAACAGUUUUUAGGUCCGAAUUUUACUUUAUUUACGAGGCUGCCACUGACUCUAUCUGCCACUGAUCUUCAUGCCGCGUGUUGAUGAUCGUGGAAAGGCAGGGGUGCGAUGGUCAUUUUGGUCUGUAUGGUUUCGAACGGGUUGGGUGGGUUGGAGACUUUCAUUUCCUUCUUUCUGUGAGCUGCAGUGGCACUCAGUGAGUGCAUGCCGUCGGGAGAGAGAGAGCGAGCGAGCAGAGAGAGACAGGGAGGGAGAGAGAUAGGGAUUUGGUGAGAGGAAGGCAUGCGGCUUGCAGGCAGACAGAGUCACAGGGGGUGUACGAUUCGAGGGAGAGAAAGGGGUUGGUUUCGAAAGUGUGAUUUUCGUCGGCAAGAAUUCUAGGUGAUUGAAGCCUUUUGUUGCUGGUUUCCCUUCGAUUCAAAAGCCCACAAACCAAGUAAUGACGGUUGAAAGCCUUAAACAUGGCGGGCGCGAAAUGGAGGUACAGUGACGAUUGACAACCGCCUCCGUUGUCGAUGAAUUUGGCCGUCAGAAAGCAUCUUACGAUUGGAGAUGUUACGGGUGGAGGCAAGCUAGAGCUGGUAUAGAUUACGAAUAUUAGUUUUGCAUAGCAUUGUAAUUUUGAUUGGUGAGAUCAUCCUAAUUUAGAAAAAGAACAGCCAUCUUUCAAUUCAAUAGUAGAGGACCUCAUUCAAAUAUGAGUUUGGCAUAGCACUAUUAAUAGUGUGUGUAGUUGCAGAAUUCCUAUUUUGAUUGGUAGCUUUGUCAUUUUUUGUUAA